This 309-nucleotide ribosomal RNA is filed under the name Sinatablatta hoplites. Its description in RNAcentral is "partial 16S ribosomal RNA". It matches the Rfam family "Archaeal large subunit ribosomal RNA", at positions 1952 to 2601 of the family's 2987-position model. The record is from RNAcentral. Lineage: Eukaryota; Metazoa; Arthropoda; Insecta; Blattodea; Blattellidae.
UGCCCACUGAUUGAAGGGCCGCGGUAAUUUGACCGUGCAAAGGUAGCAUAAUUAUUAGUCUUUUAAUUGGAGGCUGGAAUGAAUGGUUAGACGAGAUAUACUCUGUAUGAACUUAAUUAUUAGGUUAAAAAGCUUAAAUUUUUUUUUGGGACGAGAAGACCCUAUAGAUUUUAAUAUUUUUAUUGGGGUGAUAGGAAGAUAAUAAACUUUUAUUAGAUCCAGUUGAUUAUAAGAUUAAAUUACCUUAGGGAUAACAGCGUAAUCUUUUUUGAGAGUUCAAAUCGACAAUAAGGGUUGCGACCUCGAUGU